GAGGAGUGCUAGCCCGGUCAGAAGGGCUAGGCAGCUCCAGGUCGUACUUCGGAGGAACUCCAUACUGAACCCUUAUCAGAAGGAGUUCCUCCGGAGUCAGGGAACAUGGAAUGGCGCCCGGUGCAAAAAUCGGGCGGAGCCCAGCCCCUGAUGCGGGUUCGUCUACAGAGCAAGGGACCUGGGGGUUUGAGGCGGAAGAACUUUCGGAACUGCAGGGAGCGGAAGAGCCGGACGAUAUUUUGAGUAGCUUCGAAUGAGGGCUCCAAAGAUCUCGAAGAAGACGGAUAGGAUGAAGGGUGAGGGGUCACAGAAAACUAACUCGGAGGAAUACAAAAAUAAUGGCAAAGAAGAAGUCCCUAAGCGGUGGGAAGAAGGUUGAAGGUGCUGGAACUAACCUAGAUCGCUCUGAGGGACCGGAGGGAUGAAGACAAGGACGAUUUGGAGGGUGCCUACGGCUCGAGAAGAUACCAACUGAA
Molecule: long non-coding RNA, 476 nt
Filed under: Elaeis guineensis (African oil palm)
Lineage: Eukaryota; Viridiplantae; Streptophyta; Magnoliopsida; Arecales; Arecaceae
Description: long non-coding RNA (EGUI_LNC027633)
Source: RNAcentral